AUUGAACGCUGCGGCAGGCCUAACACAUGCAAGUCGAGCGGUAGAGAGAAGCUUGCUUCUCUUGAGAGCGGCGGACGGGUGAGUAAUGCCUAGGAAUCUGCCUGGUAGUGGGGGAUAACGUUCGGAAACGGACGCUAAUACCGCAUACGUCCUACGGGAGAAAGCAGGGGACCUUCGGGCCUUGCGCUAUCAGAUGAGCCUAGGUCGGAUUAGCUAGUUGGUGGGGUAAUGGCUCACCAAGGCGACGAUCCGUAACUGGUCUGAGAGGAUGAUCAGUCACACUGGAACUGAGACACGGUCCAGACUCCUACGGGAGGCAGCAGUGGGGAAUAUUGGACAAUGGGCGAAAGCCUGAUCCAGCCAUGCCGCGUGUGUGAAGAAGGUCUUCGGAUUGUAAAGCACUUUAAGUUGGGAGGAAGGGUUGUAGAUUAAUACUCUGCAAUUUUGACGUUACCGACAGAAUAAGCACCGGCUAA
RNAcentral lists this ribosomal RNA (476 nucleotides) under Pseudomonas sp. oral taxon C61. Its description in RNAcentral is "bacterial SSU rRNA". It matches the Rfam family "Bacterial small subunit ribosomal RNA", at positions 30 to 500 of the family's 1533-position model. The record is from RNAcentral. Lineage: Bacteria; Pseudomonadati; Pseudomonadota; Gammaproteobacteria; Pseudomonadales; Pseudomonadaceae.